CCUACGGGUGGCUGCAGUGAGGAAUUUUGGUCAAUGGGCGGAAGCCUGAACCAGCCAAGUAGCGUGCAGGAUGACGGCCCUACGGGUUGUAAACUGCUGUUAUACGGGAAUAACGCGCCUUACGUGUAGGGCUUUGCAUGUACCGUAUGAAUAAGGACCGGCUAAUUCCGUGCCAGCAGCCGUGGUAAUACGGAGGGUCCGGGCGUUAUCCGGAUUUAUUGGGGUUAAAGGGCGCGUAGGCCGCAUGUCAAGCGUGCUGUGAAAUGUCCGGGCUCAACCCGGGCAUUGCAGCGCGUACUGGCGUGCUUGAGUCCGCGGAAGGCAGGCGGAAUUCGUGGUGUAGCGGUGAAAUGCUUAGAUAUGACGAAGAACCCCGAUGGCGAAGGCAGCUUGCUGCAGCGGAACUGACGCUGAUGCUCGAAGGCGCGGGUAUCGAACAGGAUUAGAUACCCUAGUAGUC
Molecule: ribosomal RNA, 460 nt
Filed under: uncultured bacterium
Lineage: Bacteria
Description: partial 16S ribosomal RNA
Rfam family: Bacterial small subunit ribosomal RNA
Source: RNAcentral